RNAcentral lists this ribosomal RNA (551 nucleotides) under uncultured archaeon. RNAcentral describes it as "partial 16S ribosomal RNA". The record is from RNAcentral.
GUGCUCCCCCGCCAAUUCCUUUAAGUUCAAUCUUGCGAUCGUACUCCCCAGGCGGCAGACUUAACAGCUUCCCUGCGGCACUAGAACGGCACGUGGCCGUUCAAACACCUAGUCUGCAUCGUUUACAGCUGGGACUACCCGGGUAUCUAAUCCGGUUCGCUCCCCCAGCUUUCAUCCCUCACCGUCGGGCGCGUUAUAGCAGACAGCCUUCGCCACUGGUGGUCUUCCCGGGAUUAUAGGAUUUCACCCCUACCCCGGAAAUACCGUCUGCCUCUCUCGUCCCCUAGUCAAGCAGUAUCCCCCGCAAUCCAACGAUUAAUUCGGUGGAUUUAACAGGGGACUAACUUAGCCAGCUACGGAUGCUUUAGGCCCAAUAAACAUCCACACCACUCGGAGAGCUGGUAUUACCGCGGCGGCUGACACCAGACUUGCCCUCUCCUUAUUCCCCCAGCGUUCUAGACUGGGUAAAAGCCUUCCUCAGCGGAUGGCACUCGGGAUAGCCCUGUCAAGCUUUCGCUUAUUGCAAAGUUUUCGCGCCUGCUGCACCCCGU